AUCUUCCACAAUGGACGAAAGUCUGAUGGAGCAACGCCGCGUGAGUGAAGAAGGUUUNNNGAUCGNAAAACUCUGUUGUUGGANAAANACGUACGUGAGAGUAACUGUUCACGUAGUGACGGUAUCCAACCAGAAAGCCACGGCUAACUACGUGCCAGCAGCCGCGGUAAUACGUAGGUGGCAAGCGUUAUCCGGAUUUAUUGGGCGUAAAGCGAGCGCAGGCGGUUUCUUAAGUCUGAUGUGAAAGCCCUCGGCUCAACCGAGGAAGUGCAUCGGAAACUGGGAAACUUGAGUGCAGAAGAGGACAGUGGAACUCCAUGUGUAGCGGUGGAAUGCGUAGAUAUAUGGAAGAACACCAGUGGCGAAGGCGGCUGUCUGGUCUGUAACUGACGCUGAGGCUCGAAAGCAUGGGUAGCGAAC
RNAcentral lists this ribosomal RNA (420 nucleotides) under uncultured bacterium. RNAcentral describes it as "partial 16S ribosomal RNA". It matches the Rfam family "Bacterial small subunit ribosomal RNA", at positions 361 to 773 of the family's 1533-position model. The record is from RNAcentral.